This 406-nucleotide ribosomal RNA is filed under the name uncultured bacterium. Its description in RNAcentral is "partial 16S ribosomal RNA". It matches the Rfam family "Bacterial small subunit ribosomal RNA", at positions 30 to 526 of the family's 1533-position model. The record is from RNAcentral.
AUUGAACGCUGGCGGCAGGCCUAACACAUGCAAGUCGAACGAGUGGCGGACGGGUGAGUAAUGUCUGGGAAACUGCCCGAUGGAGGGGGAUCACUACUGGAAACGGUAGCUAAUACCGCAUACCAUCAGAUGUGCCCAGAUGGGAUUAGCUAGUUGGUGGUGUAACGGCUCACCAGGGCGACGAUCCCUAGCUGGUCUGAGAGGAUGACCAGCCACACUGGAACUGAGACACGGUCCAGACUACUACGGGAGGCAGCAGUGGGGAAUAUUGCACAAUGGGCGCAAGCAUGAUGCAGCCAUGCCGCGUGUAUGAAGAAGGCCUGCGGGUUGUAAAGUACUUUCAGCGAGGAGGCGUUACUCGCAGAAGAAGCACCGGCUAAAUCCGUGCCAGCCGCGGCGGUAAUAC